UUAAGUUCAGUGGGUAUUCCUACCUGAUCCGAGGUCAACCUGAGAAAAAUUGGAGAGGUGACCGGCCCGGAGAGACUGUCCACUCGACGCGUGCUUCGAAAAGCUCGUUGCACCGAGGGUCCCACGGACGCCGUCAUUGUCUUUGAGACCAGUGGUGCCAGCGCACCACAGAGUCCAACACCAAACCCAGGGGUUUGAGG
RNAcentral lists this unclassified non-coding RNA (200 nucleotides) under Cladophialophora sp. RNAcentral's name for it is "partial internal transcribed spacer 2". The record is from RNAcentral. Lineage: Eukaryota; Fungi; Ascomycota; Eurotiomycetes; Chaetothyriales; Herpotrichiellaceae.